RNAcentral lists this ribosomal RNA (637 nucleotides) under uncultured bacterium. RNAcentral describes it as "bacterial SSU rRNA". It matches the Rfam family "Bacterial small subunit ribosomal RNA", at positions 38 to 699 of the family's 1533-position model. The record is from RNAcentral.
GGCGGCGUGCCUAACACAUGCAAGUCGAACGAAGAGGCCCCUUCGGGGGUACUUCAGUGGCGGACGGGUGAGUAACACGUAGGUGACCUGCCCCGAGGCAGGGGAUAACGGCUCGAAAGGGCCGCUAAUACCCAAAAGGAUCGCGAGUCGCAUCGCGAUCAGAGUUACGGCGUCUCGGGAGGGGCCUGCGGCCCAUCAGCUAGUUGGCAGGGUAAUGGCCUACCAAGGCGACGACGGGUAGGGGACCUGAGAGGGUGAUCCCCCACAUUGGCACUGACACACGGGCCAAACUCCUACGGGAGGCAGCAGUGAGGAAUAUUGCGCAAUGAGCGAAAGCUAGACGCAGCAACGCCGCGUGGACGAUGAAGGCCUUCGGGUCGUAAAGUCCUUUUCAGAGGGACGAGUGAGGACGGUACCUCUGGAAUAAGUCACGGCUAACUACGUGCCAGCAGCCGCGGUAAAACGUAGGUGGCGAGCGUUAUCCGGAUUCACUGGGCGUAAAGCGCCUGCAGGCGGUCUUGUAAGUGGGAUGUGAAAUCUCCUGGCUUAACUGGGAGGGGUCAUUCCAUACUGCGGGACUGGAGGGCAGAAGAGGGAAGCGGAAUUCCCGGUGUAGUGGUGAAAUGCGUAGAUAUCG